Molecule: ribosomal RNA, 460 nt
Filed under: uncultured bacterium
Lineage: Bacteria
Description: partial 16S ribosomal RNA
Rfam family: Bacterial small subunit ribosomal RNA
Source: RNAcentral
CCUACGGGAGGCAGCAGUGAGGGAUAUUGGUCAAUGGACGCAAGUCUGAACCAGCCAUGCCGCGUGCAGGAUGACGGCUCUAUGAGUUGAAAACUGCUUUUGUACGAGGGUAAUAUCAGAUACGUGUAUCUGCUUGAAAGUGUCGUACGAAUAAGCAGCGGCUACCUCCGUGCCAGCAGCCGCGGUAAUACGGAGGAUCCAAGCGUUAUCCGGAUUUAUUGGGUGUAAAGGGUGCGUAGGCGGUUUUAUAGGUAUGAGGUGAAAAUUCGGGGCUCAACCCCGGACGUGCAUUUAGUACUGUAUUACUAGAGAAUAGAUGAGGUAGGCGGAAUGUAUGGUGUAGCGGUGAAAUGCGUAGAGAUUAUACAGAACACCGAUGGCGAAGGCAGCUUACCAAACUAUAUCUGACGUUGAGGCACGAAAGCGUGGGGAGCAAACAGGAUUAGAUACCCCGGUAGUC